RNAcentral lists this ribosomal RNA (423 nucleotides) under Triticum aestivum (bread wheat). RNAcentral describes it as "partial small subunit ribosomal RNA". The record is from RNAcentral. Lineage: Eukaryota; Viridiplantae; Streptophyta; Magnoliopsida; Poales; Poaceae.
AUGAGGGUCGGUGGCGGCGCUCUGCUCCGGCGGGCGCCCGUGGUGGAGGCAAGGCAGCGCCUCGUCCACACGACCCCGGAGGAGAUGAGAGAGGUGGCGACCCGCGCGGCGCAAAUCGGCAAGACAAAGGAGCAGCUGUUCGACAUGGUCAUUGACCUCAAUAGCAACUACAACGUUCCCCACAGCAUGAAACGGGAGCACUUGCUGCUGUCACAACGCCUCUCUUCACAAAUCCAGCCUAGACCAUACGACCCAGCCUGGCGUUUCUGCCGACGCACCGAAAGACGCAAUACUUUCUACAAGUUUGUGGGGGUGACUACUUGUGGCCUUGUCGGCUCAGCCGGCCUCUUCUUGCUCCUACACGGACCUCAUCAUCGACCAAAGAAGUGGGUUGUCGACUGGUGGGACAAGCUAACCAGUUAG